This 119-nucleotide ribosomal RNA is filed under the name Triticum aestivum (bread wheat). The record is from RNAcentral. Lineage: Eukaryota; Viridiplantae; Streptophyta; Magnoliopsida; Poales; Poaceae. RNAcentral also lists the same sequence under 2 other names.
GGAUGUGAUCAUACCAGCACUAAAGCACCGGAUCCCAUCAGAACUCCAAAGUUAAGCGUGCUUGGGCGAGAGUAGUACUAGGAUGGGUGACCUCCUGGGAAGUCCUCGUGUUGCAUUCC